RNAcentral lists this unclassified non-coding RNA (995 nucleotides) under Thanatephorus cucumeris. Lineage: Eukaryota; Fungi; Basidiomycota; Agaricomycetes; Cantharellales; Ceratobasidiaceae. The record is from RNAcentral.
GGAAUAGGGAGCCAAAGUUCCUCGAGAAUGAAGACAAACUGGCAAGCCAGUUGCUUCGUUCUGCACUUAAUAAAGUGAUCAUACUCCGAGACCAAUAUGAUUGGUUCAUAGCGAAAAACGCUUCGGAGAUGUACUUUCCUUUGAGUUAUUACGAUAACCCAGAAGAGAAAGUACCUCUAAACGAUCUACCAGGGCCAUACUUAGCCUUGGUGACCGAGAUCGAGCAAUUCUUUGAAAUGCUGAUCGGUUUAGAGAUGAAAUGGACUGACCGUCCAGAGGCUAUAUACCAAGACCUUUAUAUGGAAAUGGAUGCCACACUUUAUUACGAAGAGGCCCUUGAACUUCACGAAAGAGUUGAUAAACUCGAGUUUAAACUUAAACCUUAUGAAGGUCGAGUUAAACCCGGGAAAACAAUCCACGAGACUGCACCCAUACUUACUGCUUUACGCGGUAUUCUGGGAACUAGUCUACGAAGAUGGAACAACUCUCCUAAUCCAGUAACUAUUAGUACGUUACUGAGUUAGGUCGUGGUAGGAAUCUCCCGCCCUGAAAAUCAGAUGAAAGGCUCCUCAAUAGAGAGACCGACCCUUUGGGGACGACUCUACGAUGAGUAUUCUAUCUCUCAACUUCUCGACACUUCGAGAAACUUCUGUUAAGUUUAUUAACAAUAAAAACCAUACCUUUAGGUCCGGGUGAAAUACCGGGUAACCAUGGAGGGUAGUUCUUAUCAGAAGACUCCAAGAAACGGAAGAAGAAGAAAGAUGUGUCCAACUCGCAUAAAAUCUAUGCGCAUCGGCCUAACCAAGGGCACUGGGUGUUAUACCAGGUAACUUGGAAGGGGACCGACGGUGUGGAAACCUUUCUAUCCGAUUCAAUCGGUGGAACUUCUUAUCUUUCCAAACCAGAGNGGUNCACUGAAGAACCCUUUUCGGCUUAGUACUAACGAGGCAUUUCUUUACAGAAACGCGCAGUUAGGACUAAGGUCCGAUCUUAAC